Molecule: ribosomal RNA, 326 nt
Filed under: Acinetobacter baumannii
Lineage: Bacteria; Pseudomonadati; Pseudomonadota; Gammaproteobacteria; Moraxellales; Moraxellaceae
Description: partial 23S ribosomal RNA
Rfam family: Bacterial large subunit ribosomal RNA
Source: RNAcentral
CGUCGUGAGACAGUUCGGUCCCUAUCUGCCGUGGGCGCUGGAGAAUUGAGGGGGGCUGCUCCUAGUACGAGAGGACCGGAGUGGACGCAUCACUGGUGUUCGGGUUGUCAUGCCAAUUGCACUGCCCGGUAGCUAAAUGCGGAAGAGAUAAGUGCUGAAAGCAUCUAAGCACGAAACUUGCCCCGAGAUGAGUUCUCCCUGAGACUUUAAGUCUCCUGAAGGAACGUUAAAGACGAUGACGUUGAUAGGCCGGGUGUGUAAGCGCAGCGAUGCGUUGAGCUAACCGGUACUAAUGAACCGUGAGGCUUAACCUUACAACGCCGAAG